CAACUCCUACUUUCAUAGCAGACAUAAUACAGCACCUCUACUUCACAAACAGCAGAAGACAUUGUUGCUACUCUUUCUCUAUUGCAUUGAAACAUCUGCCAUCUUUGCAACACUUUAACAACACAACUGACGACACUAUCUACAUGCCACACUCACACAGAAGGUAAACACUUUAACAACAAAACUGACUGCACUAUCUACAUGCCACACUCACACUGAUGGUUAACACUUAAACAACACAACUGAUGACACUAUCUGCAUGCCACACUCACACUGAUGGUUAACACUUAAACAACACAACUGAUGACACUAUCUACAUGCCACACUCACACCGAUGGUAAACACUUUAACAACACAACUGACUGCACUAUCUACAUGCCACACUCACACAGAAGGUAAACACUUUAACAACAAAACUGACUGCACUAUCUACAUGCCACACUCACACUGAUGGUUAACACUUAAACAACACAACUGAUGACACUAUCUGCAUGCCACACUCACACUGAUGGUUAACACUUAAACAACACAACUGAUGACACUAUCUACAUGCCACACUCACACCGAUGGUAAACACUUUAACAACACAACUGACUACACUAUCUACAUGCCACACUCACAUUGAUGGUUAACACUUAAACAACACAACUGAUGACACUAUCUACAUGCCACACUCACACCGAUGGUAAACACUUUAACAACACAACUGACUACACUAUCUACAUGCCACACUCACACAGAAAGUAAACACUUUAACAACACAACUGACUACACCAGGGGUCACCAACAUGGUAUAAACUCAACUUGUCGUGUUUGGAGGAAGAAGAAUACUGAGUUGCAUCCCAAGAACACCACACCUACUGUGAAGCAUGGGGGUGGAAACAUCAUGCUUUGGGGCUGUUUGUCUGCUAAGGGGACAGGACGAUUGAUCCGUGUUAUGGAAAGAAUGAAUGGGGCCAUGUAUCGUGACAUUUUGAGCUAUAACCUCCUUCCAUCAGUGAGAGCUUUGAAUGGUUGACCAAAUACUUAUUUUCCAGCAUAAUUUACAAAUAAAUUCUUUAAAAUUCCUACAA
This is a long non-coding RNA of Nerophis ophidion (straightnose pipefish), 1073 nucleotides long. RefSeq lists it as uncharacterized. NCBI's taxonomy places the organism in Eukaryota, Metazoa, Chordata, Actinopteri, Syngnathiformes, Syngnathidae. The transcript is spliced from 2 exons. The record is from RefSeq and is a predicted model, not a curated record.